This 245-nucleotide ribosomal RNA is filed under the name uncultured bacterium. RNAcentral describes it as "partial 16S ribosomal RNA". It matches the Rfam family "Bacterial small subunit ribosomal RNA", at positions 524 to 768 of the family's 1533-position model. The record is from RNAcentral.
UACGAAGGGGGCUAGCGUUGUUCGGAUUUACUGGGCGUAAAGCGCAUGUAGGCGGUCUUUCAAGUUAGAGGUGAAAUCCUGGGGCUUAACCCCAGAAUGGCCUUUAAGACUGCAAGACUUGAACACGAUAGAGGACAGCAGAAUUCCCAGUGUAGAGGUGAAAUUCGUAGAUAUUGGGAGGAAUACCGGUUGCGAAGGCGGCUGUCUGGAUCGUUGUUGACGCUGAGAUGCGAAAGCGUGGGGAG